RNAcentral lists this ribosomal RNA (252 nucleotides) under uncultured bacterium. RNAcentral describes it as "partial 16S ribosomal RNA". It matches the Rfam family "Bacterial small subunit ribosomal RNA", at positions 524 to 776 of the family's 1533-position model. The record is from RNAcentral.
UACGUAGGGGGCAAGCGUUGUCCGGAAUCAUUGGGCGUAAAGAGCGUGUAGGCGGCUCGGUAAGUCCGCUGUGAAAGUCCAGGGCUCAACCCUGGAAUGCCGGUGGAAACUGUCGAGCUAGAGUCCGGAAGAGGCGAGUGGAAUUCCUGGUGUAGCGGUGAAAUGCGCAGAUAUCAGGAAGAACACCAGUGGCGAAGGCGGCUCACUGGAUCGGUACUGACGCUGAGGUGCGAAAGCGUGGGAGCGAACAGG